CCUACGGGCGGCUGCAGUGAGGAAUAUUGGUCAAUGGACGAGAGUCUGAACCAGCCAAGUAGCGUGAAGGAUGACUGCCCUAUGGGUUGUAAACUUCUUUUAUAUGGGGAUAAAACGUUCCACGUGUGGGAUUUUGUAUGUACCAUAUGAAUAAGGAUCGGCUAACUCCGUGCCAGCAGCCGCGGUAAUACGGAGGAUCCGAGCGUUAUCCGGAUUUAUUGGGUUUAAAGGGAGCGUAGGUGGAUUGUUAAGUCAGUUGUGAAAGUUUGCGGCUCAACCGUAAAAUUGCAGUUGAAACUGGCAGUCUUGAGUACAGUAGAGGUGGGCGGAAUUGGUGGUGUAGCGGUGAAAUGCUUAGAUAUCACGAAGAACUCCGAUUGCGAAGGCAGUUCACUGGACUGCAACUGACACUGAGGCUCGAAAGUGUGGGUAUCAAACAGGAUUAGAUACCCGUGUAGUC
RNAcentral lists this ribosomal RNA (460 nucleotides) under uncultured bacterium. Its description in RNAcentral is "partial 16S ribosomal RNA". It matches the Rfam family "Bacterial small subunit ribosomal RNA", at positions 338 to 795 of the family's 1533-position model. The record is from RNAcentral.